GACGAACGCUGGCGGCGUGCUUAACACAUGCAAGUCGUACGGUAAGGCCCUUUCGUUGGUACUCGAGUGGCGAACGGGUGAGUAACACUUGAGUAACCUUCCCACAACUUUGAGAUAACGCUAGGAAACUGGUGCUAAUACUGGUUAUGUGCCACUUCUGCAUGGUGGGGGUUGGAAAGCUCCGGCGGUUGUGGCUGUACUCGCGGGCUAUCAGCUUGUUGGGGGGGUAGUGGCGUACCAAGGCGGCGACGGGUAGCCGGCCUGAGAGGGUGACCGGCGACAUUGGGACUGAGGUACGGCCCAGACUGCUACGGGAGGCAGCAGUGGGGAAGAUUGCACAAUGGGCGCAAGGCGGAUGAAGCAGCGCCGCGGGCGGGAUGACGGCCUUAGGGUUGUAAAACGCUUUCAGCAGGGACGAAGCUUUUUGUGACGGUACCUGAAGAAGAAGCACCGGCUAACUACGUG
Molecule: ribosomal RNA, 465 nt
Filed under: uncultured bacterium
Lineage: Bacteria
Description: partial 16S ribosomal RNA
Rfam family: Bacterial small subunit ribosomal RNA
Source: RNAcentral